UACGGGGGGAGCAAGCGUUGUUCGGAUUUACUGGGCGUAAAGGGCGCGUAGGCGGUCGUGACAAGUCACUUGUGAAAUCUCCGGGCUUAACUCGGAACGGUCAAGUGAUACUGUCGGACUAGAGUACAGAAGGGGCAACUGGAAUUCUCGGUGUAGCGGUGAAAUGCAUAGAUAUCGAGAGGAAUACCGAUGGCGAAGGCAGGUCUCUGGGCUGACACUGACGCUCAUGCACGAAAGCGUGGGGAGCAAACAGG
RNAcentral lists this ribosomal RNA (254 nucleotides) under uncultured bacterium. RNAcentral's name for it is "partial 16S ribosomal RNA". It matches the Rfam family "Bacterial small subunit ribosomal RNA", at positions 524 to 776 of the family's 1533-position model. The record is from RNAcentral.